Molecule: long non-coding RNA, 403 nt
Filed under: Rattus norvegicus (Norway rat)
Lineage: Eukaryota; Metazoa; Chordata; Mammalia; Rodentia; Muridae
Description: long non-coding RNA NONRATT018097
Source: RNAcentral
GGCAAGCAGAGCCGGCUGCCAUGGCGCUGUUGGGGCCUGUGAUCUGGGGCUUUAGACGAGAUGUCUACCUCCUGUUGCUGCUACUGCUGCUGUUGCUGCCGCCCUGGGUCCCGGCUGGGCUGGUUCCUUCAGAGACCCCGAAUGUCUGUGCCUCAGACCCAUGUGCUCCAGGGACCAGGUGCCAGGCUACAGAAAGUGGUGGCUUUACCUGUGAGCCCUUAGAGCUUGGAGGCUGUGCUGCUCAACCGUGCCACCAUGGUGCACUGUGUGUGCCCCAGGGCCCAGAUCCUAACGGCUUCCGUUGCUACUGUGUGCCUGGAUUCCAGGGACCCCACUGUGAGCUGGACAUCGAUGAGUGUGCCUCCCGGCCUUGCCACCAUGGGGGCACCUGCCGAAAUCUGGC